AUCCAGCUGGUGACUCCUAAAUAAGACGAAACGCACGUCCUGGAU
This 45-nucleotide non-coding RNA is filed under the name Schistosoma mansoni. The record is from RNAcentral. Lineage: Eukaryota; Metazoa; Platyhelminthes; Trematoda; Strigeidida; Schistosomatidae.